GAUGAAGAACGCAGCGAAAUGCGAUAAGUAAUGUGAAUUGCAGAAUUCAGUGAAUCAUCGAAUCUUUGAACGCACAUUGCGCCCCCUGGUAUUCCGGGGGGCAUGCCUGUUCGAGUGUCAUUUCACCACUCAAGCCUCGCUUGGUAUUGGGCAACGCGGUCCGCCGCGUGCCUCAAAUCGACCGGCUGGGUCUUCUGUCCCCUAAGCGUUGUGGAAACUAUUCGCUAAAGGGUGUUCGGGAGGCUACGCCGUAAAACAACCCCAUUUCUAAGGUUGACCUCGGAUCAGGUAGGGAUACCCGCUGAACUUAAGCAUAUCAAUAAGCGGAGGA
RNAcentral lists this unclassified non-coding RNA (331 nucleotides) under soil metagenome. RNAcentral describes it as "partial contains 5.8S ribosomal RNA, internal transcribed spacer 2, and large subunit ribosomal RNA". The stretch from base 1 to 120 matches the Rfam family "5.8S ribosomal RNA", at positions 35 to 154 of the family's 154-position model. The record is from RNAcentral.